Molecule: ribosomal RNA, 478 nt
Filed under: uncultured bacterium
Lineage: Bacteria
Description: bacterial SSU rRNA
Rfam family: Bacterial small subunit ribosomal RNA
Source: RNAcentral
UCAGGACGAACGCUGGCGGCGUAGCUUAACACAUGCAAGUCGAGCGAUGAAGCUCCUUCGGGAGUGGAUUAGCGGCGGACGGGUGAGUAACACGUGGGUAACCUGCCUCAUAGAGGGGAAUAGCCUUUCGAAAGGAAGAUUAAUACCGCAUAAGAUUGUAGUACCGCAUGGUACAGCAAUUAAAGGAGUAAUCCGCUAUGAGAUGGACCCGCGUCGCAUUAGCUAGUUGGUGAGGUAACGGCUCACCAAGGCGACGAUGCGUAGCCGACCUGAGAGGGUGAUCGGCCACAUUGGGACUGAGACACGGCCCAGACUCCUACGGGAGGCGGCAGUGGGGAAUAUUGCACAAUGGGGGAAACCCUGAUGCAGCAACGCCGCGUGAGUGAUGACGGUCUUCGGAUUGUAAAACUCUGUCUUUAGGGACGAUAAUGACGGUACCUAAGGAGGAAGCCACGGCUAACUACGUGCCAGCAGCGGC